AUGGGGAUUCCCAGGAGCUGUGGGAGCUCUGGUGCAUGGAUUGCCUUCUUGUAGUGCCAUGUGAAGGAGAGGAGGCUUUGCUUAGUGAAGCAGGAUGGGUCCGGUGGGAAAAAUGAGAGCUAAUCAGAGCGAUGCUCUCCAGCAGGCUUCUGUGCGCGGCGUUACAGUGAAAUCUGAAAUUCCUUUUGCUGCUCAUGCAUACAAAGCAGGAAGAGCGAGCACGGCUGCAGACUGUUUGUGCUUUCAGAUGGUUUUGCCAAGGAGAAAACAACAGGGUAGCGGGAAGAAAGCACACUUGCUCGGAAACACGUCUGGAGUGCAGCUCCCCAGGGCUCACCCUAGGGCAGGGCAGGGGCACAGAGAGCCCUGCAGCCAUCCCAGCAUACACCCACACCUCCUGCUGCACGGCGGGGUCAGCAGCCUGCAGAGGAACAUGCGGGACACGUCGUUCCUCCUGCCCUGCUCGGCAGCCCUGCUGCGCAGUGUCACAUGAAGCGAAGCACUGAUUAGAAAGUAUUCAUAGAAUGGCUUGGGUUGGAAGAGACCCUGAAGACCACCCAGUUCCGACCCCUGCGUGGGUUGGGCACCCUCUGCAGCUUAGGCUGCCCAGGCCCUACCAGCCUGGCCUUGGGUCCCUCCAGGGAUGGGGCAUUAGGUGGGUCCCUCUGGCUUGCUGCACACAGCCGUGGUGGCUGGGAACAAGCACCCAUCUGUUUUCUUUGUUUCCAAGUGACACUCAGUCCCCGAGAUUAUCUCCCCUUGACUGUGACAACGUGGAAGAAGGCAUUGGGAUCGACAAGCAGACAAGUGCUCCCGUGUUCCACAUCCAUCCAUCUGAUGCGGGCUCGUUGCAGGCGGAACCCCUCCCUGCGAUGUCUUACGACUCGGAAGUGCAGGAUGGAAGCUGACCCCACCUGCUGGUGCUGCGCAGCAAAGCUCACAGCCUGGGCCCAUUGGUCACAAACUCAGCUCCACAUUUCACCCUCCCUCUGUACAACGGACACAUCACCUGGAAGGCACCGUCAGCUUCUAGGCCGUUUUACACAUGGCAGUGCAUCCCUCUUGGGAGAAGACUGAUGGCACGGCGAGCAGAAGGCACACACGGGG
Gallus gallus (chicken) is the source of this 1107-nucleotide long non-coding RNA. The record is from Ensembl. NCBI's taxonomy places the organism in Eukaryota, Metazoa, Chordata, Aves, Galliformes, Phasianidae.